UACAGGGGGUGCAAACGUUGCUCGGAAUUAUUGGGCGUAAAGCGCGCGUAGGCGGCUACCUAAGUCGGAUGUGAAAGCCCCUGGCUCAACUGGGGAAGUGCACCCGAAACUGAGUAGCUAGAGUACGAAAGAGGGUCGCGGAAUUCCCGGUGUAGAGGUGAAAUUCGUAGAUAUCGGGAAGAACACCUAUGGCGAAGGCAGCUCUCUGGGACGGUACUGACGCUGAGACGCGAAAGCGUGGGGAGCGAACAGG
This 253-nucleotide ribosomal RNA is filed under the name uncultured bacterium. RNAcentral's name for it is "partial 16S ribosomal RNA". It matches the Rfam family "Bacterial small subunit ribosomal RNA", at positions 524 to 776 of the family's 1533-position model. The record is from RNAcentral.